Molecule: ribosomal RNA, 459 nt
Filed under: uncultured bacterium
Lineage: Bacteria
Description: partial 16S ribosomal RNA
Rfam family: Bacterial small subunit ribosomal RNA
Source: RNAcentral
CCACGGGGGGCAGCAGUGAGGAAUAUUGGUCAAUGGGCGGGAGCCUGAACCAGCCAAGUCGCGUGAGGGAAGACGGUCCUAUGGAUUGUAAACCUCUUUAGGCGGGGAGCAAUGCCGGGCACGCGUGCCCGGAGGGAGAGUACCCUCAGAAUAAGCAUCGGCUAACUCCGUGCCAGCAGCCGCGGUAAUACGGAGGAUGCGAGCGUUAUCCGGAUUUAUUGGGUUUAAAGGGUGCGUAGGCGGAUGUUUAAGUCCGCGGGAAAAUGUCGGGGCUCAAGCCGGGCCGGCCGUUGAAACUGGGGAUCUUGAGUGGGCGAGAAGUAUGCGGAAUGCGUGGUGUAGCGGUGAAAUGCAUAGAUAUCACGCAGAACUCCGAUUGCGAAGGCAGCAUACCGGCGCCCGACUGACGCUGAGGCACGAAAGCGUGGGGAUCGAACAGGAUUAGAUACCCUAGUAGUC